RNAcentral lists this ribosomal RNA (206 nucleotides) under uncultured bacterium. Its description in RNAcentral is "partial 16S ribosomal RNA". It matches the Rfam family "Bacterial small subunit ribosomal RNA", at positions 568 to 774 of the family's 1533-position model. The record is from RNAcentral.
CGCGUAGGCGGUCGGAUAAGUCAGCUGUGAAAACCACGAGCUCAACUUGUGGCCUGCAGUUGAAACUGUCUGGCUAGAGUGUGGGAGAGGGAAGUGGAAUUCCUGGUGUAGCGGUGAAAUGCGUAGAUAUCAGGAGGAACACCGGUGGCGAAGGCGGCUUCCUGGACCACAACUGACGCUGAGGCGCGAAAGCUAGGGAGCAAACA